UAGAAUAGAAAAUUAGUAAUUAAGAGUUGUAAUUAGUUAUGAUUAUUCAUUAUGAGUUGUAAUUACCGACACUAUUAUAUAUAGUAUCAAAUACAAUGAGAAAGGCAUCAAGCCAGAAUUUAUAACAUGGUAUCAGAAGGUUCGAUCAAACCAAACCUUUGAAAUUGUGUUAUCUUGGGCUUGUCCGGCGACACCCACUGUGUCGUUCUCGAAAUUGUCUCUUCCAUUCCGGUUCAU
RNAcentral lists this long non-coding RNA (237 nucleotides) under Lathyrus oleraceus (garden pea). Its description in RNAcentral is "Pisum sativum (pea) long non-coding RNA (PSAT_LNC016327)". Lineage: Eukaryota; Viridiplantae; Streptophyta; Magnoliopsida; Fabales; Fabaceae. The record is from RNAcentral.